Long non-coding RNA from Myotis brandtii (Brandt's bat), 593 nucleotides. RefSeq lists it as uncharacterized. The transcript is spliced from 4 exons. Lineage: Eukaryota; Metazoa; Chordata; Mammalia; Chiroptera; Vespertilionidae. The record is from RefSeq and is a predicted model, not a curated record.
UUAUCUCUUUUCUUUUUAGGACUCUCUGCCUGAAACCCAGACGGCAGUGCCCACAUUUCCUGUCUGCCACCGUGGUUUCAAAAGACAGAAAAGAGACUGGGUUAUUCCUCCCAUCAGCUGCACAGAAAAUGACAGAGGGCCAUUUCCUAAGAAUUUGGUUCAGAUCAAGUCUAGUAGAGACAAAGAGACACAGGUUUUCUACAGCAUCUCUGGCCAAGGAGCUGACGCACCCCCCAUCCAUGUGUUUAUUAUUGAAAGGGAGACAGGAUGGCUCAAGGUGACGCAGCCUCUGGAUAGAGAAGCAAUUGCCAAGUACACACUCCUCUCUCACGCUGUGUCUUCCAACGGGAAUGCAAUUGAGGAUCCGAUGGAGAUUGUGAUCACAGUGAAAGAUCAGAAUGACAACAGGCCUGAGUUCACCCAGGCGGUCUUUGAGGGGUCUGUCCUGGAAGGUGCUCUCCCAGGAACCUCCGUGAUGCAGGUCACAGCCACGGACGCGGACGACGAAGUGAACACCUACAACGCUGCCAUCGCUUACAGGAUCAUCAGCCAAGAGCCUAAACAGCCUCAUUUGCAAAUGUUCGCCAUCAACA